RNAcentral lists this ribosomal RNA (207 nucleotides) under uncultured bacterium. RNAcentral describes it as "partial 16S ribosomal RNA". It matches the Rfam family "Bacterial small subunit ribosomal RNA", at positions 568 to 774 of the family's 1533-position model. The record is from RNAcentral.
AGCGUAGGCGGCGUGGUAAGUCAGAUGUGAAAUCCCGGGGCUCAACCCCGGAACUGCAUCCGAUACUGCCGUGCUAGAGGAUUGGAGAGGUAGCUGGAAUUCACGGUGUAGCAGUGAAAUGCGUAGAUAUCGUGAGGAACGCUCGUGGCGAAAGCGAGCUACUGGACAACUCCUGACGCUGAGGCUCGAAGGCCAGGGUAGCGAAAG